UCCCUGGUGGCUCAGAUGGUAAAGAAUCUGCCUGCAAUGCAGGAGAUUUAGGUUCAAUCCCUGGGUUGGGAA
This 72-nucleotide transfer RNA is filed under the name Bos taurus (domestic cattle). It matches the Rfam family "tRNA". Rfam says of the family: Transfer RNA (tRNA) molecules are approximately 80 nucleotides in length. Lineage: Eukaryota; Metazoa; Chordata; Mammalia; Artiodactyla; Bovidae. RNAcentral also lists the same sequence under 5 other names. The record is from Rfam by way of RNAcentral.